RNAcentral lists this unclassified non-coding RNA (2062 nucleotides) under Hevea brasiliensis (rubber tree). Lineage: Eukaryota; Viridiplantae; Streptophyta; Magnoliopsida; Malpighiales; Euphorbiaceae. The record is from RNAcentral.
GGAUACAGGUGUGGGAAUACCCCUUGAUGCCCAAAGCCGUAUUUUCACUCCUUUUAUGCAGGCUGACAGUUCCACUUCACGAACCUAUGGUGGGACUGGGAUAGGCUUGAGCAUCAGCAAAUGUCUUGUGGAUCUCAUGGGUGGUGAGAUCGGGUUUGUUAGUGAACCUGGCACUGGCAGUACCUUCUCAUUCACUGCUUCUUUCAGAAAAGGAGAAUUGAGUUCUCUUGAUACAAAGUGGCAACCUCAUGAUCCUACUGUUAUGGAGUUCCAAGGAUGGAGAGCAUUGGUAGUUGAUAAAAGAAGAAUCCGAGCUGAGGUUACUAGGUAUCAUCUUCAGAGGUUGGGAAUAUCUGUGGAUAUAGCUUCUAGCCCAAAGUCUGCAUGUUCUUAUAUAUUGGGAGGUUGCUACACAAGUGUUCCAGCAGAUUUUGCUAUGGUUCUUAUCGACAAAGAUGUUUGGCAUGACGAAACUGGUAUUGCUUUCAAUCAUUUGUUGAAAGAAUCCAAGCAAAAUGGUGGGAAAGAAAUCGAAGUAAACCUUCCUAAGAUUUUUCUCUUGGCUACCACUGUCAGUCCUGAUGAACGCUGUGAACUCUUAUCGGCUGGUUUAGUAGAUAAUGUAAUUAUGAAGCCUCUUCGAUUAAGUGUCUUAAUUGCUUGCUUUCAAGAAGCCAUUGGAAGUGGUAAGAAGAGUCAAGCAAAGAGAAAGAAACCAUCAGCUCUUCAGAAUCUACUAAGAGGAAAGAGAAUUUUGGUGGUAGAUGACAAUAAAGUGAACAGAAGGGUGGCAGAAGGAGCUCUAAAGAAAUAUGGAGCAAUUGUUACCUGUGUGGAGAGUGGCAAGGAUGCCUUGGAACUGCUAAAACCACCACACACAUUUGAUGCUUGUUUCAUGGAUCGCCAUAUGCCAGAGAUGGAUGGGUAAUCUUUUUGUCCUUAAAAAGCUAAUGCAUUUGAAUCUUAUCCUCUCUUUGGUGAUGCUUCCUUCAACAUAUGCCUAUAGCAAGAAUUAUAAAUUGAUUCUCCCUCUAAUGAUGCAGCUUUGAAGCUACCAGGCAAAUUAGGUCAAGGGAAAGGCAAUUUAAUGAGCAAAUUGCAUCUAGGGAAGCAUUGGCAGAGAUGUUUGGAAAUGUGGCUUAUUGGCACACUCCAAUAUUGGCAAUGACAGCUGAUGUGAUUCAGGCAACGAAUGAAGAAUGCAUUAAGUGUGGGAUGGAUGAUUAUGUUUCAAAGCCAUUUGAAGAAGAGCAGCUUUACAAUGCAGUGGCUCGCUUUUUUGAGUCUGAUUGAUAAGAGUGGAUUUAGAUGUCAGUUAUUGCUCAUUUGACCUUCAGCCGGCUGGCUGAUCUGUGCUGAAUUUGCAUUGACCCCAAAGCAUUUGGUUAGCCGACUAACGAUGGAUAGAAUGAUCCCCAACACUUUCUUAUCAUCUUUCCAGCCAUGGAAUCUGAGACUGAAGGUGACUAGAUUCAAGUAUGCAUGAUCUGGGAAGUGCAAGCAAAUGCUUGUGGCCAGUUUGUUGUCACUGGUUGCUUACCAUAUGAGAAAUUGAAGAAGACAAUGACUAACAUGAGUAGGCAGAUGGUAAAAAUGCUAGCAGUGAUCCUUUUUUGAAUGCUGAUGAGACAAUCAAUUCAACUUUUGAUCUUCUGCUAACUUAUGCAUGAAAGAUGAAAGAAGGAAUGAUUUUAGCACUGCCAAUAGCGGUUGCGACAGUAUAAUAAUUAUCCUCUUAUUUUCUCUUCCUGAGGAAGAUCAAAAUAAAACAAGGGGGUUGAUGCACACACAAUGCUGCACACCCAUUUAUGCAAACAAAAAGAUGUACCAGUAGCUUUUCUUAGUUGAAAAAUGUAAAUUGAGAUUGAUGGUUCCGAAGAGAAAGAACUGUUGUAUGUCACUGUUCGUCAAUUUGUUAUGAAGGUGCAAUUUGUUGUAAAUAAAUUUUUCUUCAAUGUAUAUAAACAUUAACAUUUUUGAUAAACAGAACAAAAAGUUGAGACAGGAUCUAUUGAUACUGUACUCACUAUGCUUUUUUAACUGGAGUUUGAUUGAUAUUGCU